GGCCACGCCGAUUUGCCGUCAGAGAGUGAGCUCCAUGGCGUCGCUCUGAUGGCAGUGUACUCAGUGGCAGAUUAAAAAAUUGGACACUCUUCUUUAUUUGGGCCUUUUGUUCUUCAAUCCUUUGACUUUUGGCCUUAACAAAGAAAGAGAUAAU
This 154-nucleotide small nucleolar RNA is filed under the name Drosophila ananassae. RNAcentral's name for it is "snoRNA:GF26199". Lineage: Eukaryota; Metazoa; Arthropoda; Insecta; Diptera; Drosophilidae. The record is from RNAcentral.